This 72-nucleotide transfer RNA is filed under the name Marmota marmota marmota (Alpine marmot). It matches the Rfam family "tRNA". From Rfam's summary of the family: Transfer RNA (tRNA) molecules are approximately 80 nucleotides in length. Their secondary structure includes four short double-helical elements and three loops (D, anti-codon, and T loops). The record is from Rfam by way of RNAcentral. RNAcentral also lists the same sequence under 1 other name. Lineage: Eukaryota; Metazoa; Chordata; Mammalia; Rodentia; Sciuridae.
GCGGGUGUAGCUCAGAUAUAGAGCUCUUAUCUAGCAUGCAAGAGGCCUUGGGUUCCAUCCCUAGCGCCUCCA